GCCCUCUGACCCCGCAGCGUCGUGGCUAGAGUAGGGUCUGGAGAGAGCUCCCACUGUGGCGAGUCCUGUCGUUGGAUUCCCGCGGCGCCCCGUAAGGCUCCGCCCCGGCGGUGCUACCAAACCCUGUUCGAUUUUAGAAUCGUACAUUCCCAGAGGGAAUCCUAGACCCCUCAUUUUACAGUUGAGGAAACAGGCCCAAGUAGCAUGACUUGUUCGCGCCGCUAGUCGAAGGAGCAGCAGCCCCGAUCCCUUGACUCUGGGGCACUGCUUUCCCUUUAGCUCAUUUUUGGAGGAAAUGGGUGCGCCCUUGCUCGACCUUUGGUGAUUGCCGCCACAGGCCUUCCCGCCGGCUAACUCAGCGUGCCCAAGUCCCGUGACUUAGUGCCAGGACGGUGCUGUGACCCGUUAUCCCCUGUCGGGUUUUACCUCCCCCCGGGAGAGCUCAGCCCUGGAUCCCGGCGGGCGGCGGAGCCUCUCUGGAGCCCGGACGGGACAGCCCACCAGGGUCUGCUUCUGUGAGGGGCCGAGGCGUCAUUCCGCGAAGCCUUCUCCUUGCUGUUGCCAUGUGAAGAAGGAUGUGUUUGCUUCCCCUUCUGCCAUGAUUGUAAGUUUUCUGAAGCCUCUCCAGCCAUGCCAAACUGAAGCUGCUGGAAGGUACACAUCUUGGGAGUUUGCCCUUUGAAGCUCACCUGUGGACCUUUUUUCCUUUCGAAAAGAAGCAUAAGCUGCAAUAAAAAUUUGGUUUCAAGAUAACAAAGUCAGUCCCCAAAAAUCAGUAUUGAGAGUCACUGACAUUAAAUGAUGAAGAUACGAGGAUGGUGUGGGGACCUUUACUCUUCGAAGAUGAGCUAUACAUGCCCCUGAAAAGGCUGUCUGAAGACAGGGGAAGGCUGGAGAUGGCAACUUUGGCCUCUGCCAAGUACUCGUGCUAUUUUCUGUAUGUGAUACUAUCUGUUUUGUAACUCAGAGGCAACACCACAUACCUAGCAUAAGGCUUGAACUCCCUUUGGGGUUAUCAAUUACUUACAUAGCCUUCCUCUAAGGGAAGGCUUGCAAGUGGUUCAUAUUCGACCCUUCCAUGUGAUAAGCAUUCAUGUGGGCUUCACAAUGUAACAGAGGUACACAGAGAUUCUUGUAAACAGAAAAUUUUAUAAAACUGUUAACUGAUCUCACUUUGAAGAAGUCUUACUGACUAGAUGUCAUUUAUCAGAGUAGACAGGCUUAAAAUGCAUUGCUUGUACUAGACUGUUGUAAUGCAUUUUUUUGUUUUUGCAUUGGUUUUUAAUUCAUUUAAUUGGUUUACACUCAUUUUUUUUUUUACAUUCCAUUUUUGCAUUUGUAUGCCAGUUAAAAAUUAUGAAAUGGCACAUUGUGGGAUUUUGUUUAGCUAAAUUCUAGAAAAAUUGAAAGAUACCUUUUAUUCGACUUAAGCCUGAGGUUAUUCAGCACGGUGAUCUCUGCAUUUUUGAAAGGUUGUCUCGUCGUUUAAUAAACGUAAAUAACUUAAGCACAUUGGAAGAGCUAUUAAAUGAGAGCAGGAGAUUAAAAAGACAUGAUUUCUUACUUUAUCCACCUGACAGGAUAGCUUGCAUUGGUGAUUAACCUUGCAUUGUUAAAUUCAUUUCCUAAAUAUUUAGGUAAGUAGUUGGUUUGAUCAUUAUUUGUAAAGUAUUAGUAGUUGCAUGUUGAAUUAUCAUGUUAAGAUUUUUAGUUUGUUGUUCAUGUGAUAUGAAAGAUAACAAUUCCUAAAACUGAAUGCAUGCAUGGCUUAUUCAGCUCAGGUCACAUACAAAGAGAAAUGUGACGCUGCAAUAAACAUAGCAGAGCUAUCUGGGUUUGAAGCAAAAAGGCUAUGACGUUAGGUAUAUGCACUUUACAUUGUAUGUAUCUUUUUAGUUCUAGUGAACUCAUCUGGAAUCAUGUUACAGAAAAUGAUUCUCCAGGUCCAAACACAUUUAAGUUUAAUGACUGGGACUACUCUAACAAUUGCGGCUAUCUCAUUUUGUCUCAUUGGUUCAUUAGCAUAGCACCCAUUUAAGAACAACUACUUCUAAACACAGUAAUAUUUCAGAGGCUAUAAAAUAAUAGAGAAAGAAAACUUAAAAAAUCCUUUGUUUGCAGCCAAGAAAAUGUGAGGAUCAGAUUUGUACUUGUUUUGAACAAUUGGAAACUGUCACAAUUGUUUUUAAGAUGUAAUAAAUGUAUAUAAAAUAUGGGAUUCUAUAGUAUUAGCCAUUUUGAUAUCUUUUGUUGAAAGAAAAAACCAAAAAACCCCAUAUGUUCUAAGUCUCAGAAAUCAAAGAAUUCCACAAUUUUCAUUUCCACUAAAAUAUUUAUUUAAUGGAUAUCUUACAGAAAUAAAUAAAAACAGUUUUUGUCUAAUACAGAUAGGUUUUUUUAUAUAUAUGUAAUUUGAUUUUACAAAAUUGAAGCAUAUCAAAUUGUUUUCUCUAAAACAUAGCUCAGAAAGGAAUAGUAGAAAACAAACACAAAGAAAUACUGAAAUAGUCUCAUUUUUAAAUUAUAAGCAUGGGCCUUCUGAAUCUCAGCAUGACAUGUUAUUAGUAAAAGAAUGUAAGAUAUGGAGUCAGGGGACCUGGGCUCCACUGUUUACUUGCUACAUGUCCUAAGAAAGUUUCAAUAUAUCUGAACUUCAGUUCUCUACCUUUAAAACAGUAAAGAUAUUAAUUAUAUCAACUUCACAAGAUUGUUGGGUAAAUUAAACACGUAAAUGUACAUGAAAGCUCUUUUUAAUAUGUGAAGAGCUAUAAAAAUAACAGUUUGAUUUAAUUUCAUAUAAAAGAAUCAAUGGAUACCUCCUUUUAACUGAAGAAUAAGCACCAAAAGCAUGUGUGUGUUUUCUUCAGUUGAAUUACAUCACUCUAUAAACCUAGAGUAAGAAAAUGCACCUUAACUAAGCACCAAAGCCUCUCGGACAAAUGGGAUCUAGGGAAUGGUUCUAUGAGUUUUCCAGGCAGCUAACUGGGAGCUAAUAAGUCCUGAGGGUCAAAGAGGGUCCUUUAAAACUCUGAAGGCUCAAAGAAAAGGAAGCCAAAUAAGAACAUUUGUAUUACAUCAAAUGGCUAGGAUGUAACAAGCUACUCCUUAUUCAGCAAUUUCAAAGUCCAUUAAUUCCUCACAGAAGAAGAAACACUUCGUUAUUAUCACUUGCAACGAUUUGCUUAUGUGAACAUGGCAUUCUCUUGUUCAAAAGGUCAAAGACUCGUGCUUAAGGGAGGAACAACUGGAGUGAAAUAACAACUCUACCAUGAAUUCAGAUAUCACUGGCUAAAAAGUCUAGUUACACAAGAACAUGGGAAAGAAAAAGAAUCCAAGACAUC
Molecule: long non-coding RNA, 3341 nt
Filed under: Homo sapiens (human)
Lineage: Eukaryota; Metazoa; Chordata; Mammalia; Primates; Hominidae
Description: HSALNT0337608
Source: RNAcentral